This 406-nucleotide ribosomal RNA is filed under the name uncultured bacterium. RNAcentral describes it as "partial 16S ribosomal RNA". It matches the Rfam family "Bacterial small subunit ribosomal RNA", at positions 30 to 526 of the family's 1533-position model. The record is from RNAcentral.
AUUGAACGCUGGCGGCAGGCCUAACACAUGCAAGUCGAACGCGUGGCGGACGGGUGAGUAAUGUCUGGGAAACUGCCUGAUGGAGGGGGAUAACUACUGGAAACGGUAGCUAAUACCGCAUACCAUCGGAUGUACCCAGAUGGGAUUAGCUAGUAGGUGGGGUAAAGGCUCACCUUGGCGACGAUCCCUAGCUGGUCUGAGAGGAUGACCAGCCACACGGGAAAUGAGACACGGUCCAUACUCCUACGGGAGGCAGGAGUGGGGUAGAUGGCACAAUGGGCGCAAGCCUAAUGCAGCCAUGCGGCGUGUAUGUAGAAGGCCUUCGGGUUGUAAAGUACUUUCAGCGGGGAGGCGUUACCCGCAGAAGAAGCACCGGCUAACUCCGUGCCAGCAGCCGCGGUAAUAC